CCUACGGGGGGCAGCAGUGGGGAAUAUUGGACAAUGGGGGGAACCCUGAUCCAGCCAUGUCGCGUGUGUGAAGAAGGCCCUCGGGUUGUAAAGCACUUUCAGUGAGGAAGAACGCCUGGUGGUUAAUACCCAUCAGGAAAGACAUCACUCACAGAAGAAGCACCGGCUAACUCCGUGCCAGCAGCCGCGGUAAUACGGAGGGUGCGAGCGUUAAUCGGAAUUACUGGGCGUAAAGCGCGCGUAGGUGGCUUGAUAAGCCGGUUGUGAAAGCCCCGGGCUCAACCUGGGAACGGCAUCCGGAACUGUCAAGCUAGAGUGCAGGAGAGGAAGGUAGAAUUCCCGGUGUAGCGGUGAAAUGCGUAGAGAUCGGGAGGAAUACCAGUGGCGAAGGCGGCCUUCUGGACUGACACUGACACUGAGGUGCGAAAGCGUGGGUAGCAAACAGGAUUAGAUACCCCAGUAGUC
RNAcentral lists this ribosomal RNA (465 nucleotides) under Vreelandella stevensii. RNAcentral's name for it is "partial 16S ribosomal RNA". It matches the Rfam family "Bacterial small subunit ribosomal RNA", at positions 338 to 795 of the family's 1533-position model. The record is from RNAcentral. Lineage: Bacteria; Pseudomonadati; Pseudomonadota; Gammaproteobacteria; Oceanospirillales; Halomonadaceae.